UUUGCUAGUUACCAUCAUUAAUUGGGGACUCUAGCGAGACUGCCAGUGAUAAACUGGAGGAAGUGGGGGAUGACGUCAAAUCAGUCAUGCCCCUUAUGACCUGGGCUACAAACGUGAUACAAUGGCUGGAACAAAGGGAUGCGAAGCAGUGAUGUGGAGCGAAACCCAUAAAAACAGUCUCAGUUCGGAUUGAAGUCUGCAACUCGACUUCAUGAAGUCGGAAUCGCUAGUAAUCGCGGAUCAGAACGCCGCGGUGAAUACGUUCUCGGGGUUU
RNAcentral lists this ribosomal RNA (274 nucleotides) under uncultured Acholeplasma sp. RNAcentral's name for it is "partial 16S ribosomal RNA". It matches the Rfam family "Bacterial small subunit ribosomal RNA", at positions 1107 to 1382 of the family's 1533-position model. The record is from RNAcentral. Lineage: Bacteria; Bacillati; Mycoplasmatota; Mollicutes; Acholeplasmatales; Acholeplasmataceae.